AGUGAACGCUGGCGGCAGGCCUAACACAUGCAAGUCGAGCGGCAGCGCGUCCGACCACCCUCGGGUGGUCGGAUGGCGGCGAGCGGCGGACGGGUGAGGAAUGCAUCGGAAUCUGCCUCGUUGUGGGGGAUAACGUAGGGAAACUUACGCUAAUACCGCAUACGACCUACGGGUGAAAGUGGGGGACCUUCGGGCCUCACGCGAUGAGAUGAGCCGAUGCCGGAUUAGCUAGUUGGCGGGGUAAAGGCCCACCAAGGCGACGAUCCGUAGCUGGUCUGAGAGGAUGAUCAGCCACACCGGAACUGAGACACGGUCCGGACUCCUACGGGAGGCAGCAGUGGGGAAUAUUGCGCAAUGGGCGAAAGCCUGACGCAGCCAUACCGCGUGUGUGAAGAAGGCC
This 400-nucleotide ribosomal RNA is filed under the name uncultured bacterium. RNAcentral's name for it is "bacterial SSU rRNA". It matches the Rfam family "Bacterial small subunit ribosomal RNA", at positions 30 to 416 of the family's 1533-position model. The record is from RNAcentral.